Molecule: ribosomal RNA, 494 nt
Filed under: uncultured bacterium
Lineage: Bacteria
Description: partial 16S ribosomal RNA
Rfam family: Bacterial small subunit ribosomal RNA
Source: RNAcentral
GACGAACGCUGGCGGCGUGCUUAACACAUGCCAGUCGAACGGUGAAGCGCCUUCCUUUUUGGUGGGUGUGGAUGAGUGGCGAACGGGUGAGUAACACGUGAGUAACCUGCCCCCUUCUUCUGGAUAACCGCAUGAAAGUGUGGCUAAUACGGGAUAUUCUGGGUCUGUCGCAUGAUGGGUCUGGGAAAGAUAUUGUUUCGGUGGGGGAUGGGCUCGCGGCCUAUCAGCUUGUUGGUGGGGUGAUGGCCUACCAAGGCGGUGACGGGUAGCCGGCCUGAGAGGGUGGACGGUCACACUGGGACUGAGACACGGCCCAGACUCCUACGGGAGGCAGCAGUGGGGAAUAUUGCACAAUGGGCGCAAGCCUGAUGCAGCGACGCCGCGUGAGGGAUGGAGGCCUUCGGGUUGUGAACCUCUUUCGCCAGUGAAGCAGGCCUGCCUCGUUUGUGGGUGGAUUGACGGUAGCUGGAUAAGAAGCGCCGGCUAACUACGUG